CUAGGAGACAAAGCUGUGAUCAUGCACUGCACAUGCAUUCACGUAGUCAGCUUGCACAGCCAUGACGAAAGAUGACGGUCUGCACGCGACUGGACAUCGGCUGCUGGCAGGGAAGGCCUGUUGAGUAACACAUUUCCCAGGCCCUAAUCAUCACUUCAUUCAUCUUCUGGCGACAUCUGCAACGCUUGUGCGGCGGGUGACGCCGGAAAUGUACGGACUCCUCCGACUUUUACCGACAGCGGAAGGGAGGCAACUUGCGGCAUUAAGCAAUGCAGACGCAACACCUUGGCGAGUGACAAGGGCUACCGUUUUCCAGGCGACUGACUGGCAGCCGUCACAGUCUUAUUUCAGGCCAUUUUUCUCCGUAGAGCUUCAUCUACACAAUAGAGAGAGAGUGGGCCUGUAGAAGACAAGCCGUUCAUCAUGGAGGCCCUGUUGCGCCUGCGUCGCGAGGCAGAGGCGGUAGCAGCAGCGGCAGUGUCAGAGGCUGUCACCAGUAGUCCUGACAUCACAACACAAGGGAGUACCAAACAGUCAAAACUAGACGAGUACAAGGACAAGAUUAUCGAAGAAAUAAAAAAGUUGCCAAUAUGGGCUGACAUCCUGAUUGUGGCUGGGGCGCUGCUGGUGUUAUCAUGCUGCCUAUACUGUCUGUGCAAACGCUGUUGUCGCAAGCGAAAGAAGAAGGAGGGUAAAAAGGGACUGAAAGGUGCUGUAGAUUUGAAGAGUGUAACGUUGCUAGGAAACUCAUAUAAAGAGAAGGUUCAGCCUGAAUUAGAUGAACUUCCUGUCAAUAUGGAGGAUAACGAGGAUGCUGAAAGUACUAAGUCAGAAGUCAAGCUGGGCAAGUUGCAGUUUGCGUUAGACUACGACUUCCAGAAAGGCGAGCUGGCAGUGACUGUCAUCCAAGCAGCAGAUCUCCCAGGCAUGGAUAUGAGUGGCACAUCGGAUCCAUAUGUGAAAGUUUACCUGCUCCCUGACAAGAAGAAAAAGUAUGAGACCAAAGUACAUCGCAAGACACUUAACCCGGUCUUCAAUGAGACCUUCACUUUCAAGGCUCCAUACGCAGAGAUUGGAUCCAAGACACUUGUGUUUGCUGUCUAUGACUUUGAUCGCUUCUCAAAGCAUGACCAGAUUGGUCAGGUUCAGGUGCCUCUUAACUCCAUCGAUCUCGGACGUGUUUUGGAAGAGUGGCGUGACCUUACUUCUCCUGACAGCGAGUCAGAAAAGGAAAACAAACUGGGUGACAUUUGCUUCUCCUUGCGCUAUGUGCCAACAGCUGGCAAGCUGACUGUUGUCAUUCUGGAGGCAAAGAACCUUAAAAAGAUGGAUGUUGGUGGUCUCUCAGAUCCCUAUGUGAAAAUAGCUCUGUAUCAAGGAAACAAGCGUCUGAAGAAAAAGAAAACCACUAUAAAGAAACGCACUCUCAACCCCUACUUCAAUGAGUCAUUCACUUUUGAGGUUCCCUUUGAGCAGAUCCAGAUCCCUAUGUAAAGAUCUCUUUGAUGCUUAAUGGGAAGCGCGUUAAGAAGAAGAAGACAACUAUCAAGAAGUGCACCCUCAACCCUUACUAUAAUGAGUCCUUUACGUUCGAAGUGCCCUUCGAACAGAUACAGAAAGUCACACUGAUUAUCACAGUGGUGGAUUAUGACCGCAUCGGCACUUCGGAGCCAAUUGGCCGUGUACUGCUUGGCUGCAACUCCACAGGAACCGAGCUGCGACACUGGAGCGACAUGCUGGCAAACCCACGCC
RNAcentral lists this unclassified non-coding RNA (1752 nucleotides) under Pomacea canaliculata. Its description in RNAcentral is "synaptotagmin-1, transcript variant X5". The record is from RNAcentral. Lineage: Eukaryota; Metazoa; Mollusca; Gastropoda; Architaenioglossa; Ampullariidae.